This 264-nucleotide ribosomal RNA is filed under the name uncultured bacterium. RNAcentral's name for it is "partial 16S ribosomal RNA". It matches the Rfam family "Bacterial small subunit ribosomal RNA", at positions 90 to 354 of the family's 1533-position model. The record is from RNAcentral.
UCUUAGUGGCGGACGGGUGAGUAACGCGUGGGUAACCUGCCUUACACAGGGGGAUAACACCUGGAAACAGGUGCUAAUACCGCAUAAGCGCACAGGGCCGCAUGGCCCGGUGUGAAAAACUCCGGUGGUGUAAGAUGGACCCGCGUCUGAUUAGCUUGUUGGCGGGGUAGGGGCCCACCAAGGCGACGAUCAGUAGCCGGCCUGAGAGGGUGGACGGCCACAUUGGGACUGAGACACGGCCCAAACUCCUACGGGAGGCAGCAG